This 163-nucleotide ribosomal RNA is filed under the name uncultured bacterium. RNAcentral's name for it is "partial 16S ribosomal RNA". It matches the Rfam family "Bacterial small subunit ribosomal RNA", at positions 355 to 509 of the family's 1533-position model. The record is from RNAcentral.
UGGGGAAUUCUGGACAAUGGGCGCAAGCCUGAUCCAGCAAUGCAGCGUGCAGGAUGAAGGCCUUAGGGUUGUAAACUGUUUUUGUACGGAACGAAACGGCGAGCUCUAAUACAGUUUGCUAAUGACGGUACCGUAAGAAUAAGCAACCGGCUAAAUGUGUGCC